AGCAUUCGUUUUUACUCACCAAAGCAUCAACACAGUGUGAUCAAAGACUUAGUAAUUUAGUUGUAGCAAGCAGCCAGUGUUAGUUUUCAUUUCAGACCCAACAUUCAUUACGACUCAUUUGUGGCCCAAAAACGAGAAGCUAGCUUUGAAGUGGAACCGGUUUGUCAGGUUGAAGCGAGCGGAUUGGAGUAAGGGAACCGCAGGCACGUCUACUGUAUGAGGUGCUCAUUUAACCCCAGAGGAUUUCGAUGGCUAUAACCAGCGGAAGGCAUGAUUCGGAAUGCGACUGAAACCAGGUGCUUUGCCGAGCUACCGGUAACUUUACAUCACGAGUGUCAGCAGUGAUGGAGAUAAACCGGUGAACCAUACUAGCCGUAGCAUCCUGUCCAUGUCCCUUGUACUGCGUGGCUCUCCUCAUCCCUCCGCUUCUCUGGCCUGCUCUGAAACAGCUUGAGUACUCACGCAGAACCUGAAUACCACCUCAGUCCAACAUCAGCCUUCUGUCACGCUGCCAUCAACACACCUGCAUCCAGCCCUAAACUGACUCCUGUUUGCCUGCUGUAACUGUCAUUAGGGUUUUAUUACACCGAGUUGUUCCCUUUUAUCCUCUGCCCUUGUUUACUUCCCAUUACUGAGAUGAGAUAAUGGGAUUAGAGUAAGCAGCACCUGUAACAAGCCUAACUCCACACCCGCGCUCGGUCUAUGUUCAUCGGAUGUUGUGCUCCUUGACACUCCUCACAACAAGCGCUCUACAUCUUUGCUGCUGCCGCCAAGCUUUCAGAGUGGAACUCAACUAACCAUAAAGAAAUGUACACAAUUAUUUAUUGAAUUUCUAAAUUGUAUUGUUAUUGUAUAUUAACUAUCAUUAUUAUAGGGACUGUGUCCACAAAGUGGAAUGUUGACAGAUAAAAAAAAAUAAAAAAAGACCCAUGAUGAAAGUGUUGUAUUGGUAUAACAUAUAUUAAUAAAAAGGUAAAAACAUGUUUGAAUUCUUCUUAUGGUAACUUGAAGCCGGUGUAGGGCAUGUUCUCCUCAUUUGGAAACCUAUUUCUUGUCCCAUUGACUGCACACACUGGAAUUGGCACACAGUUGUGCUGCCCCAGAUAGCCCCAAUUCCAGGUGAUAAACUACCCGUAGGCAACGGUUCUGAACUUCCUAAAAAGUGUACUACUAGGGGGAGUGGAGUAACAUUAUUUGAGUUCAUUAUUGCAUUAGAUUAGUGGGGAUUCUAUUUCUAGAUUAACUAUAUUGACAUCCAUGCAGAACGUGGAGAGGCCAGAAUGUUGUGUCAUACAGCCCACUCCUUCCUCUGUCAUCGUGGACGUGCCGCUCUCGCUUUGUUUGGUAGUUAACUCGGCCUACAGUCCUUACCAUGAUGGGCCCCAGAUGUCAAUAUACCCCAAUUGAGUGCGCCUUUUGGUGGAAGUAUCUGGGAACGAGAUUUGCUAGCAGGCUACCUAACCUUCACAACCAAGAGGGCAUAGAGGAACAGUUUAGGAGGUAAGCACCUAUCAGAUCCCCCUGCUGUCCUUCACCACUCGGUGCAGUCUGCUGACCAUUGCUGAGGCCAGGAAGAUGUCCGCCAGCCGAAGUAGGAGCCAAGUUCAUUGCCAUGCAAUGCUCUACCGACCGAGGUAGGCUUUGGCUUCCAGGAAACCAUGAGAAGGGAGUGGGCCACCCGACCAACACCAUUGCUGUGUGUGGUUAAACUCCAGCAGCUCCUCUAGGUGCUUCAGAAGACCUACUUUCUUUUAGAUCCUGCUGAAACGGUCCACUAUCAGCCAGGUGAGGAUGCUCUCCCAUGGAAAGGAUGAGCUGUUAUGGCAACAAAAUGGCUGAAAGUUGCCUGAGUCGUGCCUUGUUUUCUGAAAAGUUUAAAUUUACUCCUGAAGAUCUUAGUGCAUUAAACUGACAACUACAGACAAGACUGUUAAAGGCAAAGCAUGUUUUCCUGUAAUCGAGAAUCUGCAAUAUAUUAAAGUAGCAAGUUAGGAUCCUCCUCAUCCCCAUUUUGCACUAUUGAGAGCAUCGUGUUGGACUGUAUCACAGCCUGGUAUGGCAAUUGCACCGUCCAUAACCGCAGGGCUCUCCAGAGGGUGGAGCGGUCAGCCCAACGCAUCACCAGAGGCACACUGCCUGCCCUCCAGGACAUCUACAGCAUCUGGUGUCACAGGAAGGUCAAGAGAAUCAUCAGCCUCAGCCACCUGAGCCAUGGCCUCUUCACCCCGCUACGAUCUACAAGGCGGCGACAGUACAGGUGCAUCAAAGCUGGGACAGAGAGACUGAGAAACUGCUUGUAUAUCCAGGUAUAGAGUGCAUUUGGAAAGUAUUCAGACAUCUUGACCUUUUCCAUAUUUUGUUACAUUACAGUCAAUUCUAAAAUGGAUUUAAAAAAUCGAAAUAAACUCAAAAAUCUACACACAGUAGCACAUAAUGACAAAGCGAAAACAGGUUUUUUAUUCAGACCCUUUACAAUGAGACUUGAAAUUGAGCU
Non-coding RNA from Salmo salar (Atlantic salmon), 2494 nucleotides. The record is from RefSeq and is a predicted model, not a curated record. NCBI's taxonomy places the organism in Eukaryota, Metazoa, Chordata, Actinopteri, Salmoniformes, Salmonidae.